CCUACGGGUGGCAGCAGUGGGGGAUAUUGCACAAUGGGGGAAACCCUGAUGCAGCGACGCAGCGUGGGCGAAGAAGUAUUUCGGUAUGUAAAGCCCUAUUAGCAGGGAAGAAGAAAUGACGGUAUCUGAGUAAGAAGCUCUGGCUAAAUACGUGCCAGCAGCCGCGGUAAUACGGAUGGUGCAAGCGUUAUCCGGAUGUACUGGGUGUAAAGGGAGCGCAGGCGGGACGGCAAGCCAGAUGUGAAAGCCCGCGGCCAAACCGCGGGACUGCAUUGGGAACUACCGGGCUGGAGUGCAGGAGAGGAAGGCGGAAUUCCUAGUGUAGCGGUGAAAUGCGUAGAUAUUAGGAGGAACACCAGUGGCGAAGGC
Molecule: ribosomal RNA, 369 nt
Filed under: uncultured bacterium
Lineage: Bacteria
Description: partial 16S ribosomal RNA
Rfam family: Bacterial small subunit ribosomal RNA
Source: RNAcentral